UACGUAGGGGGCAAGCGUUGUCCGGAUUUAUUGGGCGUAAAGAGCGUGUAGGCGGCUAGGUAGGUGGGUUGUGAUAACUGGAGGCUCAACCUUCAGACGUCGACCCAAACCCCCUGGCUAGAGUCCGGAAGAGGAGAGUGGAAUUCCUGGUGUAGCGGUGAAAUGCGUAGAUAUCAGGAAGAACACCGGUGGCGAAAGCGCUCUGCUAGGCCGCAACUGACACUGAGGGACGAAAGCUAGGGGAGCGAAUGGG
This 253-nucleotide ribosomal RNA is filed under the name uncultured bacterium. RNAcentral describes it as "partial 16S ribosomal RNA". It matches the Rfam family "Bacterial small subunit ribosomal RNA", at positions 524 to 776 of the family's 1533-position model. The record is from RNAcentral.